Molecule: ribosomal RNA, 482 nt
Filed under: uncultured bacterium
Lineage: Bacteria
Description: bacterial SSU rRNA
Rfam family: Bacterial small subunit ribosomal RNA
Source: RNAcentral
UUGAACGCUGGCGGAAUGCUUUACACAUGCAAGUCGAGCGGCAGCGCGGGGGCAACCCUGGCGGCGAGCGGCGAACGGGUGAGUAAUGUAUCGGAACGUACCCUGUCGUGGGGGAUAACACAGCGAAAGCUGUGCUAAUACCGCAUACGACCUGAGGGUGAAAGCGGGGGAUCGCAAGACCUCGCGCGAUAGGAGCGGCCGAUAUCGGAUUAGCUUGUUGGUGAGGUAAAGGCUCACCAAGGCGACGAUCCGUAGCUGGUCUGAGAGGACGACCAGCCACACUGGAACUGAGACACGGUCCAGACUCCUACGGGAGGCAGCAGUGGGGAAUUUUGGACAAUGGGGGCAACCCUGAUCCAGCCAUUCCGCGUGAGUGAAGAAGGCCUUCGGGUUGUAAACUGCUUUUGUACGGAACGAAAAGGUCUGGGUUAAUACCCUGGGCUCAUGACGGUACCGUAAGAAUAAGCACCGGCUAACUACGU